GCCUGGGUGGCUCAGUGGUUGAGCGUCUGACUUCGGCUCAGGUCACGAUCUAGCAGUUCAUGAGUUCGAGCCCCACGUCAGGCU
This 84-nucleotide transfer RNA is filed under the name Felis catus (domestic cat). It matches the Rfam family "tRNA". Rfam says of the family: Transfer RNA (tRNA) molecules are approximately 80 nucleotides in length. Their secondary structure includes four short double-helical elements and three loops (D, anti-codon, and T loops). Further hydrogen bonds mediate the characteristic L-shaped molecular structure. tRNAs have two regions of fundamental functional importance: the anti-codon, which is responsible for specific mRNA codon recognition, and the 3' end, to which the tRNAs corresponding amino acid is attached (by aminoacyl-tRNA synthetases). tRNAs cope with the degeneracy of the genetic code in two manners: having more than one tRNA (with a specific anti-codon) for a particular amino acid; and 'wobble' base-pairing, i.e. permitting non-standard base-pairing at the 3rd anti-codon position. RNAcentral also lists the same sequence under 1 other name. The record is from Rfam by way of RNAcentral. Lineage: Eukaryota; Metazoa; Chordata; Mammalia; Carnivora; Felidae.